GGAUGCGAUCAUACGAGCACUAAUACACUGGAUCCCAUCAAAACUCCGCAGUUAAGCGUGCUUGGAGAGAUUAGUACUAGGAUGGGUGACCUCCCGAGAAGUCCUCGUGUUGCAUCCC
This is a non-coding RNA of Arabidopsis thaliana x Arabidopsis arenosa, 118 nucleotides long. NCBI's taxonomy places the organism in Eukaryota, Viridiplantae, Streptophyta, Magnoliopsida, Brassicales, Brassicaceae. The record is from the annotation of a GenBank genome assembly.